CACGUAGGGUGCGAGCGUUGUCCGGAAUUAUUGGGCGUAAAGAGCUCGUAGGCGGUGUGUCGCGUCGGCCGUGAAAACCUGCAGCUUAACUGUGGGCUUGCGGUCGAUACGGGCAUCACUGGAGUUCGGCAGGGGAGACUGGAAUUCCUGGUGUAGCGGUGAAAUGUGCAGAUAUCAGGAGGAACACCGGUGGCGAAGGCGGGUCUCUGGGCCGAGACUGACGCUGAGGAGCGAAAGCGUGGGGAGCGAACAGG
This 254-nucleotide ribosomal RNA is filed under the name uncultured bacterium. RNAcentral describes it as "partial 16S ribosomal RNA". It matches the Rfam family "Bacterial small subunit ribosomal RNA", at positions 524 to 776 of the family's 1533-position model. The record is from RNAcentral.